CCGGGGUUCUAUACAUGCAGUCGAACGCGUUGGCCCAUUGAUUGAUGGUGCUUGCACCUGAUUGAUUUUGGUCGCCAACGAGUGGCGGACGGGUGAGUAACACGUAUGUAACCUGCCCAGAAGCGGGGGACAACGUUUGGAAACAGAUGCUAAUACCGCAUAACAACAUUGUUCGCAUGAACGACGCUCAAAAUAUGGCUUCUCGCUGUCACUUCUGGAUGGACCUGCGGUGCAUUAGCUUGUUGGUGGGGUAACGGCCUACCAAGGCCAAGAUGCAUAACCGAGUUGACAGACUGAUCGGCCACAAUGGGACUGAGACACGGCCCAUACUCCUACGGGAGGCAGCCCUAGGGAAUCUUCCACAAUGGGCGCAAGCCUGAUGGAGCAACACCGCGUGAGUGAAGAAGGGUUUCGGCUCGUAAAGCUCUGUUGUUAAAGAAGAACACUGAUGAUAGUAACUGUUCAUACAUUGACGGUAUUUAACCAAAAAGUCACGGCUAACUACCUGCCAUCAGCCGCGGUAAUACGUAGGUGGCAAGCGUUGUCCGGAUUUAUUGGGCGUAAAGAGAGUGCAGGCGGAUUUCUAAGUCUGAUGUGAAACCCUUCAGCUUAACCGGAGAAUUGCAUCCUAGACUGGAUAACUUGAGUGCGGAACAGGUGGGGGAAACUUCUGGUAAACGGGGGAGCAGAAGAGGGUAGUGGAACUCCAUGUGUAGCGGUGGAAUGCGUAGAUAUAUGGAAGAACACCAGUGGCGAAGGCGGCUACCUGGUCUGCAACUGACGCUGAGACUCGAAAGCAUGGGUAGCGAACAGGAUUAGAUACCCUGGUAGUCCAUGCCGUAAACGAUGAGUGCUAGGUGUUGGAGGGUUUCCGCCCUUCAGUGCCGGAGCUAACGCAUUAAGCACUCCGCCUGGGGAGUACGACCGCAAGGUUGAAACUCAAAGGAAUUGACGGGGGCCCGCACAAGCGGUGGAGCAUGUGGUUUAAUUCGAAGCUACGCGAAGAACCUUACCAGGUCUUGACAUCUUGCGCCAACCCUAGAGAUAGGGCGUUUCCUUCGGGAACGCAAUGACAGGUGGUGCAUGGUCGUCGUCAGCUCGUGUCGUGAGAUGUUGGGUUAAGUCCCGCAACGAGCGCAACCCUUGUUACUAGUUGCCAGCAUUAAGUUGGGCACUCUAGUGAGACUGCCGGUGACAAACCGGAGGAAGGUGGGGACGACGUCAGAUCAUCAUGCCCCUUAUGACCUGGGCUACACACGUGCUACAAUGGACGGUACAACGAGUCGCGAACUCGCGAGGGCAAGCAAAUCUCUUAAAACCGUUCUCAGUUCGGACUGCAGGCUGCAACUCGCCUGCACGAAGUCGGAAUCGCUAGUAAUCGCGGAUCAGCAUGCCGCGGUGAAUACGUUCCCGGGCCUUGUACACACCGCCCGUCACACCAUGAGAGUUUGUAACACCCAAAGUCGGUGGGGUAACCUUUUAGGAGCCAGCCGCCUAAGGUGGGACAGAUGAUUAGGGUGAAG
This 1523-nucleotide ribosomal RNA is filed under the name Limosilactobacillus fermentum. RNAcentral's name for it is "bacterial SSU rRNA". It matches the Rfam family "Bacterial small subunit ribosomal RNA". Lineage: Bacteria; Bacillati; Bacillota; Bacilli; Lactobacillales; Lactobacillaceae. The record is from RNAcentral.